AUUGAACGCUGGCGGCAUGUCUUACACAUGCAAGUCGAACGGCAGCAUGAUCUAGCUUGCUAGAUUGAUGGCGAGUGGCGAACGGGUGAGUAAUACAUCGGAACGUGCCCUGUAGUGGGGGAUAACUAGUCGAAAGAUUAGCUAAUACCGCAUACGACCUGAGGGUGAAAGUGGGGGACCGCAAGGCCUCAUGCUAUAGGAGCGGCCGAUGUCUGAUUAGCUAGUUGGUGAGGUAAAGGCUCACCAAGGCGACGAUCAGUAGCUGGUCUGAGAGGACGAUCAGCCACACUGGGACUGAGACACGGCCCAGACUCCUACGGGAGGCAGCAGUGGGGAAUUUUGGACAAUGGGCGAAAGCCUGAUCCAGCAAUGCCGCGUGUGUGAAGAAGGCCUUCGGGUUGUAAAGCACUUUUGUCCGGAAAGAAAUGGCUCUGGUUAAUACCUGGGGUCGAUGACGGUACCGGAAGAAUAAGGACCGGCUAACUACGUG
Molecule: ribosomal RNA, 490 nt
Filed under: uncultured bacterium
Lineage: Bacteria
Description: partial 16S ribosomal RNA
Rfam family: Bacterial small subunit ribosomal RNA
Source: RNAcentral